GUGGGGAAUAUUGGACAAUGGGGGGAACCCUGAUCCAGCCAUGCCGCGUGUGUGAAGAAGGCCUUUUGGUUGUAAAGCACUUUAAGCGAGGAGGAGGCUACCGAGAUUAAUACUCUUGGAUAGUGGACGUUACUCGCAGAAUAAGCACCGGCUAACUCUGUGCCAGCAGCCGCGGUAAUACAGAGGGUGCAAGCGUUAAUCGGAUUUACUGGGCGUAAAGCGCGCGUAGGUGGCCAAUUAAGUCAAAUGUGAAAUCCCCGAGCUUAACGUGGGAAUUGGAUUCGAUACUGGUUGGCUAGAGUAUGGGAGAGGAUGGUAGAAUUCCAGGUGUAGCGGUGAAAUGCGUAGAGAUCUGGAGGAAUACCGAUGGCGAAGGCAGCCAUCUGGCCUAAUACUGACACUGAGGUGCGAAAGCAUGGGGAGCAAACAGGAUUAGAUACCCGGGUAGUCC
RNAcentral lists this ribosomal RNA (451 nucleotides) under uncultured bacterium. RNAcentral's name for it is "bacterial SSU rRNA". It matches the Rfam family "Bacterial small subunit ribosomal RNA", at positions 354 to 796 of the family's 1533-position model. The record is from RNAcentral.